RNAcentral lists this ribosomal RNA (492 nucleotides) under uncultured bacterium. RNAcentral's name for it is "partial 16S ribosomal RNA". It matches the Rfam family "Bacterial small subunit ribosomal RNA", at positions 29 to 507 of the family's 1533-position model. The record is from RNAcentral.
AGUGAACGCUGGCGGCAGGCCUAACACAUGCAAGUCGAACGGCAGCACAGUAAGAGCUUGCUCUUACGGGUGGCGAGUGGCGGACGGGUGAGGAAUACAUCGGAAUCUACUUUUUCGUGGGGGAUAACGUAGGGAAACUUACGCUAAUACCGCAUACGACCUACGGGUGAAAGCAGGGGAUCUUCGGACCUUGCGCGAUUGAAUGAGCCGAUGUCGGAUUAGCUAGUUGGCGGGAUAAAGGCCCACCAAGGCGACGAUCCGUAGCUGGUCUGAGAGGAUGAUCAGCCACACUGGAACUGAGACACGGUCCAGACUCCUACGGGAGGCAGCAGUGGGGAAUAUUGGACAAUGGGCGCAAGCCUGAUCCAGCCAUACCGCGUGGGUGAAGAAGGCCUUCGGGUUGUAAAGCCCUUUUGUUGGGAAAGAAAAGCAGCAGGUUAAUACCCCGCUGUUCUGACGGUACCCAAAGAAUAAGCACCGGCUAACUUCGUG